GACGAACGCUGGCGGCGUGCUUAACACAUGCAAGUCGAACGGAAAGGCUCCAGCUUGCUGGAGUACUCGAGUGGCGAACGGGUGAGUAACACGUGGGUGAUCUGCCCUGCACUUCGGGAUAAGCCUGGGAAACUGGGUCUAAUACCGGAUAGGACCGCACUUUGGUGUGUGUGGUGGAAAGGUUUUUCUGGUGUGGGAUGAGCUCGCGGCCUAUCAGUUCGUUGGUGGGGUAAUGGCCUACCAAGACGGCGACGGGUAGCCGGCCUGAGAGGGUGGACGGUCACAUUGGGACUGAGAUACGGCCCAGACUCCUACGGGAGGCAGCAGUGGGGAAUAUUGCACAAUGGGGGAAACCCUGAUGCAGCGACGCCGCGUGGGGGAUGAAGGCCUUCGGGUUGUAAACUCCUUUCGCUAGGGACGAAGCUUUUUGUGACGGUACCUGGAGAAGAAGCACCGGCUAACUACGUG
RNAcentral lists this ribosomal RNA (468 nucleotides) under uncultured bacterium. RNAcentral's name for it is "partial 16S ribosomal RNA". It matches the Rfam family "Bacterial small subunit ribosomal RNA", at positions 28 to 507 of the family's 1533-position model. The record is from RNAcentral.